UUUAUAUGGGAAUAAAGUGCAGUAUGUAUACUGCUUUGCAUGUACCUUAUGAAUAAGGAUCGGCUAACUCCGUGCCAGCAGCCGCGGUAAUACGGAGGAUCCGAGCGUUAUCCGGAUUUAUUGGGUUUAAAGGGAGCGUAGGCGGGUUGUUAAGUCAGUUGUGAAAGUUUGCGGCUCAACCGUAAAAUUGCAGUUGAUACUGGCAUCCUUGAGUACAGUAGAGGUAGGCGGAAUUCGUGGUGUAGCGGUGAAAUGCUUAGAUAUCACGAAGAACUCCGAUUGCGAAGGCAGCCUGCUGGACUGUAACUGACGCUGAUGCUCGAAAGUGUGGGUAUCAAACAGGAUUAGAUACCCUGGUAGU
RNAcentral lists this ribosomal RNA (361 nucleotides) under uncultured bacterium. RNAcentral describes it as "bacterial SSU rRNA". It matches the Rfam family "Bacterial small subunit ribosomal RNA", at positions 434 to 794 of the family's 1533-position model. The record is from RNAcentral.